RNAcentral lists this ribosomal RNA (427 nucleotides) under uncultured bacterium. Its description in RNAcentral is "partial 16S ribosomal RNA". It matches the Rfam family "Bacterial small subunit ribosomal RNA", at positions 354 to 796 of the family's 1533-position model. The record is from RNAcentral.
GUGGGGAAUAUUGCACAAUGGGGGGAACCCUGAUGCAGCGACGCCGCGUGAGCGAAGAAGUAUUUCGGUAUGUAAAGCUCUAUCAGCAGGGAAGAAGAAAUGACGGUACCUGACUAAGAAGCACCGGCUAAAUACGUGCCAGCAGCCGCGGUAAUACGUAUGGUGCAAGCGUUAUCCGGAUUUACUGGGUGUAAAGGGAGCGCAGGCGGAAGGCUAAGUCUGAUGUGAAAGCCCGGGGCUCAACCCCGGUACUGCAUUGGAAACUGGUCAUCUAGAGUGUCGGAGGGGUAAGUGGAAUUCCUAGUGUAGCGGUGAAAUGCGUAGAUAUUAGGAGGAACACCAGUGGCGAAGGCGGCUUACUGGACGAUAACUGACGCUGAGGCUCGAAAGCGUGGGGAGCAAACAGGAUUAGAAACCCUGGUAGUCC